This 465-nucleotide ribosomal RNA is filed under the name uncultured bacterium. Its description in RNAcentral is "partial 16S ribosomal RNA". It matches the Rfam family "Bacterial small subunit ribosomal RNA", at positions 338 to 795 of the family's 1533-position model. The record is from RNAcentral.
CCUACGGGGGGCAGCAGUAGGGAAUCUUCCACAAUGGGCGAAAGCCUGAUGGAGCAACGCCGCGUGGGUGAAGAAGGUCUUCGGAUCGUAAAACCCUGUUGUUAGAGAAGAAAGUGCGUGAGAGUAACUGUUCACGUUUCGACGGUAUCUAACCAGAAAGCCACGGCUAACUACGUGCCAGCAGCCGCGGUAAUACGUAGGUGGCAAGCGUUAUCCGGAUUUAUGGGGCGUAAAGGGAACGCAGGCGGUCUUUUAAGUCUGAUGUUAAAGCCUUCGGCUUAACCGGAGUAGUGCAUUGGAAACUGGGAGACUUGAGUGCAGAAGAGGAGAGUGGAACUCCAUGUGUAGCGGUGAAAUGCGGAGAUAUAUGGAAGAACACCAGUGGCGAAAGCGGCUCUCUGGUCUGUAACUGACGCUGAGGUUCGAAAGCGUGGGUAGCAAACAGGAUUAGAUACCCCAGUAGUC